UACGUAGGGUGCAAGCGUUGUCCGGAAUCAUUGGGCGUAAAGCGCGCGUAGGCGGCCCGGUAAGUCCGCUGUGAAAGUCGGGGGCUCAACCCUCGGAUGCCGGUGGAUACUGUCGGGCUUGAGUGCGGAAGAGGCGAGUGGAAUUCCUGGUGUAGCGGUGAAAUGCGCAGAUAUCAGGAGGAACACCAAUUGCGAAGGCAGCUCGCUGGGACGUUACUGACGCUGAUGCGCGAAAGCGUGGGGAGCAAACAGG
This 253-nucleotide ribosomal RNA is filed under the name uncultured bacterium. RNAcentral's name for it is "partial 16S ribosomal RNA". It matches the Rfam family "Bacterial small subunit ribosomal RNA", at positions 524 to 776 of the family's 1533-position model. The record is from RNAcentral.